CGGAGGAGGAGGAGCCAGAUUGUAAUAAGGAGGCGGCAGCGGAAGUUCCGGCAGCCAUGUGGGUUGCUUCCAUGGGAAGCGGAUGGUCGUGAGUUCCUUCGUACGUCGUCAUAUAAGCGGAGGUAUCAUCUUCUCCGCAUCUCUGCACCUACAAAGUUACAUUCUCACAUAUGUCACACUUUUUCAUCUGGAGUAAUAUCCAUGUUAAUUUUUGGGAUCUAUAUAGAAGAGCCAAAUGCUUGUCACUGUGGCCAACCAUGAUUAAGAUCGCAGUGGGAGGACCCUCUAGUCUCUCUUCAACCACUGGACCACCAUGAACUGGUCUACAUAAAUCACAUUUACCAUUGAUUAUUUUUAAUUAAAAAGUAUCAGUUACCACUUACCACAACUUUUAUAAGAUGAAAUCAAUAUUGCCAUUACCAUAGCUAUAGCCAGUUUUAAUUUAGGAUUGUAAAAUAUUGUAGAAUGUUUUGUACCUGUUUUCUAACGGGACAAUUUGAGGACAUGGAGCAGCGGUAAUAGGCUCGUGGAAGAGGAUUCGCUUUUGCAGUCUUUUGUCCGUACUUCCUCCAUUGGCAACCAUCGUUUAUCUAUUUAACAUCAAUAGCACUAUGAGAAAUGUCACGUCUAAGAUAAAGAAAGAAAUAGACCUAUUAUAUAUAACAUAUCGUUGGGUGGCUUGGUACGUACUGAUGGGUCUUCACAUGGAGCUUUCACACAAACCCUUGUUUUCUUUAAACCCGGAUGUUCAUGUACUUCCAAAGCCUCUUGAUGAUCUUCGUUUCUAGCUGUUUUGAUAUCUUUUCUCGAAGAUAAGCAUUUAUUAUCCGCUUUUGUAUUUUUAACAUCCUUGGAAAGAUAGUCUAACUUCAUGGUUGGAUCAGUAUCUGGAUCUUCACAACUUUGAAUCUGAAAUCCUAAACCGAGUGCAGAUCUUUUCUUAUCGGACCCCUCACUGAUCUCAUCAGAAAUCUUGUCCAGACUAAUCUUAUCUAUUUCAUCUACAUUUUUGGAGACAUUCAGGUCUGAUCUUCCAAGCCUAAGAGAUACAUCUACACAAAAAUCGUCGUGACUAUUAAUGUCUAGCUCCAUUGAAGCUUCAUGUUGUGGUCGGAUAACGUUGGAGACAUGCAUUUGAAGAGA
Molecule: long non-coding RNA, 1143 nt
Filed under: Brassica napus (rape)
Lineage: Eukaryota; Viridiplantae; Streptophyta; Magnoliopsida; Brassicales; Brassicaceae
Description: long non-coding RNA (BNAP_LNC019178)
Source: RNAcentral